Molecule: microRNA, 22 nt
Filed under: Echinops telfairi (small Madagascar hedgehog)
Lineage: Eukaryota; Metazoa; Chordata; Mammalia; Afrosoricida; Tenrecidae
Description: Ete-Mir-185_5p (mature (guide))
Source: RNAcentral
UGGAGAGAAAGGCAGUCCCUGA